GGCACCUUCCCUUUUAAUCUAAAACCGUUUCCUCUCUAGGCAACACAAGGCUUAUACGAAGGGCUCACCUUGGACACAAGGACAACUUAGUGAGCCACCGUGCCACCCUCCAUAGAAACUUAUAAUAAGGAAACAGCUUAACACGGCUAAAUACAAACAGCCUGCAGCACACACAAAUCACCACAAGGAGGAGACAAGGAAUGAGGAACCACAGGGGCCCGUCGGCACACAGGACCUUCUUUAGACAUGACACCGCUGCCAACAGGGCUCAGCUGGACUCGGUCCACAACACGUGCCCUACAAGUCAUACAGAAGAUUCACUUCAGCGAUGGAAAAUCAGUCAUUACAUUGUAACCCUGUGGCUGAUACACAGCAUCUAUAUCCACAGUAUUGUGGGUGCAGAGUAUUGGCAAAAUAUGUAUUAAUGAGCAGAUUAUGUAUAAUAUAAACACAAUAUGUGGAUCAUAGUAUUUCUAAAGAAUUAAUGGAAGUGCAGAGAAGAACAUAUAUGUAAGGACACUAUUAUGGGAUGGAAUUCUACCACCGGCAUAAAAGAACCUGAGUAUAUGUGUAGUGUUGUUGAAAGACGUAAUAAUGAAAUCAGUAGCUGUAUGUAUGUAUAGGGGCUCAAAUUUAA
Molecule: long non-coding RNA, 637 nt
Organism: Paramormyrops kingsleyae
Lineage: Eukaryota; Metazoa; Chordata; Actinopteri; Osteoglossiformes; Mormyridae
Source: RefSeq, a predicted model, not a curated record